Molecule: long non-coding RNA, 1737 nt
Organism: Lepus europaeus (European hare)
Lineage: Eukaryota; Metazoa; Chordata; Mammalia; Lagomorpha; Leporidae
Exons: 4
Source: RefSeq, a predicted model, not a curated record
AGCCUCCUGAGCGUACCUGGUCCCGGGGCCGCCGAGGAGCAGCCUCGAGGAAGCCGCCGGGACGGCAGAGAAGCCUGCCCGUUCCCGCCCCGAUCAGUGUCCGUUCGACAGGUCGGCCGCCAGGACGGAGAGGCAGGUGAGGUGAAGGCACGGUGGAAAUGGCACUUGAACACGUGCAGGACCCAGCUUGUCGCUGUGCAGCCAGUCCGAACCCCCGCUCCACCACCACCACCUUGGGCUACCGAGCAGGCACAGCGGGGCUUCCAGACCACGCACGCAGGCGCAGGCGAGCACCGGCACCAAGGAUGAACGAGCACACACCUCGGGAGGUUCCCUGGAGAGAUGUUGUUUGAAUCCUUUUCUUGUGACAUGAAUUCCUCUAUUUUAUUCUUCUUCAAGAUUGCUUUAACUAUUCGAGGCCCUUUGUAAAUCCAUGUGAAUUUGAGGUCUGCCUUUUCCAUCUCUGCACAAAAAGGCAGUGUUACAGAGAAAAGGGGAGACAGAGAGAGAACACUCCCGAAUGGCCACAACAGCUAGGACUGGGCAAGACUGAAACAAAGAGCCUGGAACUCCAUCUGGGUCUACCAUGCAUGGCAAGGGCCCAGGUACUUGGGCCAUCUUGCACUGUUUUCCCAGGCACAUCAGCAGGAGCUGGAUCAAAAGUGGAACAGCUGAGAUUCAAACCUGUGUCCACGUGGGAUGCCCUCUGCAGGUAGCUUAACCCAUUAACCCAUAAUGCUAGCCCCUAUUGUGACUCUUACACAUGUAUAACAAAUUUCAAAACCUUAGCUCUUGGUAAAUUUCAUACAAAUUUUUAUGAAACUAACAUAUAUUUGGCUUACAGGAUCAAAUCUGUUGGCUUCAGAAUAUGUAGGAACUUCAAAAAGUUCACGGGAAAAUAUAAAAGGGACAAGACAGAGGUACAAAACAUUUACCAAGACUGAAUGUGGGCAUGGAAAUCUUCAUGUAUUAAAAUUUGCCUAAUCUUGUCUGUUGUAACAUUCCCUUAGAUGAAGAAUCACACUGUUUUUUUCACUAACAUUGUGAAACCUUUCAACUAUAUUUUUUCUCCCAGUUUUCAUAGCUUCCAUACUUAGAUCACCAUACAUCGUUUAAGUUGUUAUAAUCUCUCAGGUUUCUCCCUUGCUUGUUUAUCUAAUGGUAUUAUCUCACCUUUUCUCUAAAAUGUACAGCAGUUUAAAUCUUAAAAAUAAUUGUUUGUAGCGGAUGUUUUACUAUCUAUGUAGUUCUCUGCUUGAUUCAAGAACAUCUACUCAACACUGAGAAUAACUUAAUUACCUCUCCUUGGCAAAUUUAAGUGUUUCUACCAAGUGUUUUUCUUGCUCUGUCCCCCAAAAAAUAUCUCUUUUUGCCUUUGAAAUUUACACGACUAAGUACCAUUUAUUGUCUGUCUUUGACACCAUUUCCUAACUAUUAUAAAAAUUAAUUUUCGGCAUAAUUUGUCUCUUUGCUAAUUUUCUUCAGGAUAGUUUCCUUAUUUCUUUUGUAUUCUUAAGACAAUGGGAGUGGAUUGCAAUGGAAACUGCAACUUACCACAGGCAUGUGAGAACUGAACAGAAAAUCAGAAGUAAAACUCUUAAUACAGGAACAGUACAAUUUCUACCUCUGGUGCCUACUCAACAGAUUCUCAAUAGAUUCAGUGCAUUUAAAUGAUGGUGAAUAGAUUUCUAAGCAAACCUUUUUUUCAACUUCCAAAGGAAGCCUCACGUCUCUUCU